This is an RNA transcript of Lagenorhynchus albirostris (white-beaked dolphin), 610 nucleotides long. It is a transcript of the gene named small nuclear ribonucleoprotein polypeptide E, with no coding region annotated. The transcript has 6 exons. The record is from RefSeq and is a predicted model, not a curated record. NCBI's taxonomy places the organism in Eukaryota, Metazoa, Chordata, Mammalia, Artiodactyla, Delphinidae.
CGCUUCCGGCUCUUUAUUCCGGAAGUUGCUUUUUGAGGUAGUGUGCGGGAUAGUGUGGUCUUUGUGAGCUUCCACCAUGGCGUACCGAGGCCAGGGCCAGAAGGUGCAGAAGGUGAUGGUGCAGCCAAUCAAUCUCAUCUUCAGAUACUUGCAAAAUAGAUCUCGGAUUCAGGUGUGGCUUUAUGAGCAAGUGAAUAUGCGGAUAGAGGGCUGUAUCAUUGGUUUUGAUGAGUAUAUGAACCUCGUAUUAGAUGAUGCAGAAGAAAUUCAUUCUAAAACAAAGUCAAGAAAACAACUGGGUCGGAUCAUGCUAAAAGGAGAUAACAUUACUCUGCUCCAAAGUGUCUCCAACUAGAAAUGAUCAAUGAAGUGAGAAAUUGUUGAGAAGGCAAUACAGUUUUUUUAGUUCCCCAACCAGGGAACCUCUGCCCCCUGAAAUGGAAGCGUGGAGUCCUUAACACUGGACCGCCAGGGAAGUCCCUAUCUUCACCAUUUUAAAGUGUACAGCUCAGUAGUGUUAAGUAUAUUCACAUUGUUAUGCAACCAAUAUUUAGAACUUUUUUAUCUUGCAAAAAACAAACUGUACCUAUUAAACAGCAACUUAACCAUC